This 650-nucleotide ribosomal RNA is filed under the name unidentified microorganism. Its description in RNAcentral is "bacterial SSU rRNA". It matches the Rfam family "Bacterial small subunit ribosomal RNA", at positions 49 to 683 of the family's 1533-position model. The record is from RNAcentral.
CUAUACAUGCAGUCGAGCGAAUGGAUGGGAGCUUGCUCCCUGAAGUUAGCGGCGGACGGGUGAGUAACACGUGGGCAACCUGCCUGUAAGACUGGGAUAACUUCGGGAAACCGGAGCUAAUACCGGAUACGUUCUUUCCUCGCAUGAGGAAAGAUGGAAAGACGGUUUCGGCUGUCACUUACAGAUGGGCCCGCGGCGCAUUAGCUAGUUGGUGAGGUAAUGGCUCACCAAGGCCACGAUGCGUAGCCNACCUGAGAGGGUGAUCGGCCACACUGGGACUGAGACACGGCCCAGACUCCUACGGGAGGCAGCANUAGGGAAUCUUCCGCAAUGGACGAAAGUCUGACGGAGCAACGCCGCGUGAGCGAAGAAGGCCUUCGGGUCGUAAAGCUCUGUUGUUAGGGAAGAACAAGUGCCAGAGUAACUGCUGGCACCUUGACGGUACCUAACCAGAAAGCCACGGCUAACUACGUGCCAGCAGCCGCGGUAAUACGUAGGUGGCAAGCGUUGUCCGGAAUUAUUGGGCGUAAAGCGCGCGCAGGUGGUUCCUUAAGUCUGAUGUGAAAGCCCACGGCUCAACCGUGGAGGGUCAUUGGAAACUGGGGGACUUGAGUGCAGAAGAGGAAAGUGGAAUUCCAAGUGUAGCGGUG